GCGGCAGUAGCUCAGUGGUAGAGCAUCACCUUGCCAAGGUGAGGGUCACGGGUUCGAUCCCCGUUUGCCGCUCCA
RNAcentral lists this transfer RNA (75 nucleotides) under Epibacterium sp. DP7N7-1. RNAcentral describes it as "tRNA-Gly". It matches the Rfam family "tRNA". Rfam says of the family: Transfer RNA (tRNA) molecules are approximately 80 nucleotides in length. Their secondary structure includes four short double-helical elements and three loops (D, anti-codon, and T loops). Lineage: Bacteria; Pseudomonadati; Pseudomonadota; Alphaproteobacteria; Rhodobacterales; Roseobacteraceae. The record is from RNAcentral.